Molecule: long non-coding RNA, 264 nt
Filed under: Jatropha curcas
Lineage: Eukaryota; Viridiplantae; Streptophyta; Magnoliopsida; Malpighiales; Euphorbiaceae
Description: long non-coding RNA (JCUR_LNC003260)
Source: RNAcentral
GUUUAAUCAUAAGAUCAUGCAGUUUGUCACACAAAUGGCAAUACAACAACAAUCACAAUUAUUAUCACCUUCAUAUAAUCACAUCACGUGGAAAUUAGUCAGUGGAGUCACCAAACCCCGAUGAGCCGUCCUCCCACAUGGCUCAUCCUCUCACGUGUGCACCAGGGAGCCGAUCCCCCAUACUGGCCGACCGGUCUAAUCCUCACUUGACCAGCCCUCUCAUUGUUUUUCCAUUCUCUCUUUUCUUUUUCAUACCAACAGGNN